This 465-nucleotide ribosomal RNA is filed under the name Prevotella sp. oral taxon G57. Its description in RNAcentral is "bacterial SSU rRNA". It matches the Rfam family "Bacterial small subunit ribosomal RNA", at positions 28 to 479 of the family's 1533-position model. The record is from RNAcentral. Lineage: Bacteria; Pseudomonadati; Bacteroidota; Bacteroidia; Bacteroidales; Prevotellaceae.
GAUGAACGCUGGCUACAGGCUUAACACAUGCAAGUCGAGGGGAAACGGCAUUGAGUGCUUGCACUGAAUGGACGUCGACCGGCGCACGGGUGAGUAACGCGUAUCCAACCUUCCCGUUACUGCGGGAUAACCUGCCGAAAGGCAGACUAAUACCGCAUGUUCUUCGAUGACAGCAUCAGAUUCGAAGCAAAGAUUCUUCGGUAACGGAGGGGGAUGCGUCUGAUUAGCUAGUUGGCGGGGCGACGGCCCACCAAGGCGACGAUCAGUAGGGGUUCUGAGAGGAAGGUCCCCCACAUUGGAACUGAGACACGGUCCAAACUCCUACGGGAGGCAGCAGUGAGGAAUAUUGGUCAAUGGGCGGAAGCCUGAACCAGCCAAGUAGCGUGCAGGAUGACGGCCCUACGGGUUGUAAACUGCUUUUAUGCGGGGAUAAAGUGAGGGACGCGUACCCUUUUUGCAGGUACC